Molecule: ribosomal RNA, 253 nt
Filed under: uncultured bacterium
Lineage: Bacteria
Description: partial 16S ribosomal RNA
Rfam family: Bacterial small subunit ribosomal RNA
Source: RNAcentral
UACGUAGGGAGCAAGCGUUGUCCGGAAUCAUUGGGCGUAAAGCGCGCGUAGGCGGCCCCGUAAGUCCGCUGUGAAAGUCAAAGGCUCAACCUUUGAAAGCCGGUGGAUACUGUGGGGCUAGAGUACGGAAGAGGCGAGUGGAAUUCCUGGUGUAGCGGUGAAAUGCGCAGAUAUCAGGAGGAACACCAAUUGCGAAGGCAGCUCGCUGGGACGUUACUGACGCUGAGACGCGAAAGCGUGGGGAGCAAACAGG